Molecule: long non-coding RNA, 1722 nt
Organism: Bombyx mori (domestic silkworm)
Lineage: Eukaryota; Metazoa; Arthropoda; Insecta; Lepidoptera; Bombycidae
Exons: 2
Source: RefSeq, a predicted model, not a curated record
UUUAUUUCGGGUUAAAGAUAUUCUUUAUUCUCAAAAGAAUUACAUAAAUUCACUUAAAUGAGAACAUUAAAAUAGUUAUAAUUAAUUCAGUUCGUGCAGUACAUGAAAAUAUUUUACAGUAACAACAUGCGGUGCUAUGACAAUAUAUUUAACAAAAACUAUAAAGAUUAUUAUUUUCUUAAAAUGUAUAAACAGGGUAGAUUACCACAGCAGAUCGCCUCGACCAGCCGCCGGCCGCUCGGUGGCGGGUAGAUAUUGGCGCCACAAGGAGCUAGUUCGCAUGGAUGUGGCAUUGGUAAAAUGUUUGCAGGUUGUUAGUUUCGUUGUUUUUUCGUUUCAUUUUUUAACUACUUAUCGAUAGACUUCAGGACGCACUUGAGCUCAUCAAACUUUCCCGGCUUAACAAUGCUGCGUACAUUGGCGUAGAGAAAGUUGAGAGAUGGGUAGAACGUUUCAAUUUGUGAGUAGUCGUUUGUAAUCUAGUAUGAAAUGUUCUCAAUUUGUAAGAUUCCUAUUCUGGUACUAGAUUGUUUGUUGCCGGCGCAGAGUUUUUUGGUAAGGAUUCUACUAUUGCUGGUUCUCCUUUUACAUAUUUAAUAGAAAUAUUAGUUUCGCCAUUGGAAAUUCGAUUUUCAAGUUCUUGUUUCAGGAUUUUUAAGGUUUCUCUCUGAUGUGGAGUUUGAUCACUGUAUAUCUUGACGUUAGCAGCUGCCAUGUUAUUUCGGUUUCUAAGUAUAACUUUAACAGUGUCCUCUGAUUUAAAAAUAGCUUUAAUGGGGCGGAUUUUGUCAUGUUGAUAUUUUCCUAGACGGUGUAUGUUUUCAGGUCCAGGACAGUUACUUGAGGCCAUUUUAGUAAGUUUUAUUAUUUCUUUUCUGUCAUAUUCCAAUCUUUCUAUAGCAUUUUCAGAGGUGGCUUCUAUGACACCGCAUACGAUUAUAUUUUUUGCUCGCUGACUACGUUCUUGACAUUCGGCAAUCAUCUUGUUAUAAUUCACGCGAUUCAUGGACGCAGAUUCUUGUGUAUGCAACGAUUUAAACUUAAGUCCUUCCACUUCUUUUUCAAGAAGUUCAAUUUUAUUUCCCAAUAUACUGGUAGACGUCAUCACGUUUGACACAUCCACCUUCAAUUUUUCCUGUUCGAUGAUGAUGGAUUCAAUAUUGUUACAUAUUUUAUCAACUUGCCCUUUCAUAGCACUGACAUCUUGGUACAAUCUGUUUAUAUUCUCAGUUUGGGCAACACUACUUGACGCCAUAAGAGACAUCAUUUCUGCCAUCUGUUUCUUCACAUCUAAGAUUUUUUCGAUGACACAAUCGUUGCUAUUAGAUGACCUUCGUUUAUUUCUAAAUGUAAUUUUUGGAGUAUCAAAAUCAGGAGUUACCGAUGGGUUUGGUUGAGAUCCUCCAUACGUUUGAGACACGCCGCCUCCAUUCGGUGAGCGUAGUACGCUCAUUGUAGAUCCGUGGCUCAAUUAGUGACUUUGUUGUAAGGUGCACGAAGAGGUCAGGCGAAUUUGUAGUCACUGCUCAAACUGUUAUGGUCGAAAUUGUAAUAGUAGUGGUUUUAAAAUAAGUUAAAUAAAUUUUAUUUUUCUCGCACUGCACUUCACGGCAAAUUGUAAUCAAGAGCAUAUGUUGCUUCAGUUUAAAAUGGUUUGUCGGUGAAAUGAAUGUUUUUGGAAAGAUCGCUAACACGUCUGUACUGCACGGAUGCACGGAGCAA